Molecule: unclassified non-coding RNA, 1146 nt
Filed under: Zea mays
Lineage: Eukaryota; Viridiplantae; Streptophyta; Magnoliopsida; Poales; Poaceae
Description: misc RNA Zm00001eb285630
Source: RNAcentral
GCCGCGGUAAAGUAGUUCCCUGUUCUGUUCUUACUCACCCGCCAUUUUGCUCCGGCGCGGCGGCCACCACCUUGUAGUACAUGAGCCAGUCCUUGUAACGCCUGGCCGCGCGCCGCGCCGCGUCCUCUUCGCCGGCGCCGCCGGCCCUGGCGAGCACGCCGUCGUCGAACAGCCCCUCCCAGAGCGCGCGUGGCGCGAGCCCGGCGCGGCGGGCGCCGUCCUCGCGGCCAGCGGCCACCGCGGCUGGGCACACGGCGACGGCCUGCAGGAGGUCCAUGGACAUCUGCCACGCGUCCCCCUGGGCGCACCGCACGAGCGCGAGGUAGAAGUAGGCGCACGCGGCGACGCGGCGGUUGUCCAGCCCCGCCGUCUCGCCGUGCUCCGGCAGCAGCGCGGGGGCCUGCAGCGCCUCCUCGACGCCCGCCAGGCAGACGGCCGCCGCGCCGUCGACGGGGGACGGGAGGAGCGCGUCGAUGGAGCCGUGGAGCGCGGCGAGGACGGCGUCGUCUUCGUUCUCCUCCUCCUCCUGCGCUCCGGAGAGGUUUUUACGACAAUGGUGCCGCCGUGGGGGCGUGAGCAGAGCGAGACAGCGGCGGCGCGUGGCGUGGAGCGCGGCGGGGUCGGCGAGGAGCGCGCGCAGGUGGUGGUGGAGGAAGGCGAUGAGGGAGUCCAUGCAAGUGCGCGGCAGCACCGCCGCUGGCGCCGUCGGCAUUGUGUCGCCGCAAUGCCGGUGCUUAGAAGCAAGCUCUUUCGUCGUCACCAAUCACCACCACCAGGAACAGGAGGAUGUGGUGCCGUGGGUGAAGCCUGGUUGCAGUGGCUCAUGCCAAUCUUGGUCUGGUAUGGGGAGCGACUGGUCCCUGUCCGUCCUCUCUUGACUUCAUGGAGCAAGCUAGUAGUAGAGAGAGAUAGAGAGAGAUUUGGGAGGUUAUACAUCUUCCCGUCCGUGAGGCGUGAGUAGGGAUGGCAACGGGGAAUUCCCCGUCGGGUUUUAGCUCCCCAAACCCGUCCCCGCGACGAAAAAAUUUCCCCAUGGGGAUCCCCACGAAUGCUUGCGGGGGACAUUUCUUCCCCAUCCCCGUUCCCCGCGGGGAUAAAUCCCCGUCGGGUAUCCCCAUCCCCAUUUAAAUUAUAAUUAAAUCAUAC